RNAcentral lists this ribosomal RNA (301 nucleotides) under uncultured bacterium. Its description in RNAcentral is "partial 16S ribosomal RNA". It matches the Rfam family "Bacterial small subunit ribosomal RNA", at positions 509 to 809 of the family's 1533-position model. The record is from RNAcentral.
CAGCCGCCACGGGAAUACAGAGGGUGCGAGCGUUAAUCGGAUUUACUGGGCGUAAAGCGUGCGUAGGCGGCUUCUUAAGUCGGAUGUGAAAUCCCUGAGCUUAACUUAGGAAUUGCAUUCGAUACUGGGAAGCUAGAGUAUGGGAGAGGAUGGUAGAAUUCCAGGUGUAGCGGUGAAAUGCGUAGAGAUCUGGAGGAAUACCGAUGGCGAAGGCAGCCAUCUGGCCUAAUACUGACGCUGAGGUACGAAAGCAUGGGGAGCAAACAGGAUUAGAUACCCGUGUAGUCCCUGUCUCUUAUAA